RNA transcript from Felis catus (domestic cat), 2958 nucleotides. It is a transcript of the gene named SNRPN upstream open reading frame, with no coding region annotated. The record is from RefSeq and is a predicted model, not a curated record. The transcript has 11 exons. NCBI's taxonomy places the organism in Eukaryota, Metazoa, Chordata, Mammalia, Carnivora, Felidae.
CGCAGCCAAAGUCGGAGGGGUGGCGAGCUGCGCAUGCGCAGGUGGAACUGGUGUGAUUAGCCCUGCCGCAGUGACUGGAACACAGAGUGGAGUGGUCGCCGGAGAUGCCUGAAGGUCUGUUCUGAGGAGCGGCUAGCAGCGCGAUGGAGCGGGCCAGGGACCGCUUACACCUGAGACGGACCACGGAGCAGCACGUACCAGAGGUGGAAGUACAAGUCAAACGUAGAAGGACAGCCUCACUGAGCAACCAAGAGUGUCAGCUCUACCCAAGGCGAUCUCAGCAGCAGCAAGUACCUGUGUUGGAUUUCCAGGCGGAAUUGAGACAGGCAUUCUUAGCAGAGACACCAAGAGGUGGUUAAAGCAGUAUUUGGAACAUCCAGGUUAGCUGAUUUCCAAGUGAAAAACCAGGAAUGUUUGGCUUCUCAGUGCAUUUCAUAUACUCUUGAAAACUUUGCUCUUUGGGUAGAUCUGCUGACAUGGAUGGCUCUUAGAUUUUGACAUGAGUGAUUGUGCACCAUAUACAAAGAAAACCUGUUCUCUCAUAUCUCCUUAAGUAAUGAUGACGGCGUCUUUUGCAAGUUAGAGUUUUUUCAGUCUUAUGAAGUGCCCUUUUGUCCACAUAGUUGAUGACUGAAAGGAGGAGAGAAUUUAACCACUCAAUUUUCUGACAUGUCACUGUGGAUCCUACCCAGUAGUUUCUCAAGGAGGCUUAAAACUGUAUUAGCUGCAUUUAGGACAAACGUAAACCACUACAGGUAAACUAACCUUUUAAAGAAAAGUAAUAGUGCAUUACAGAGGCCUUGGCUAGGUUCAUGAUGACACAGGACCUUGUCUGAACAUAAUGAUUUUAAAAUUUGAGCUUAAAUGACACUCUGAAAUCUAGUCAAUGUGCCUCAGUAGACUUUACAGAGAACAUUAUUUUCAAUAAAAAAUUUUGGCUUACUGUGCAAACUUUGAAUACUUAGAAAUGGCAGGUGUAGCAGUAUACUUUGUCAGUUUCUUAGACAUCCUUUUUUUUUUUAAAUGUUUAUACAUAUUCUGAGCUCAUUAUUUUUUCCCUUUUUUUUUAAAACAUAUAUGCUGUUGAAAGCAAAAAAGGAAGCUCAUCCUUAGAUCCCAGAAGGUACAUGCAUAUGCUGAGUGGAAGCAAGGACAUGUAAAAGGGAGACUACUACUUCUUGGAUCACACAUUGGAUGACAGAUGUUUAAGUGAUGAUGUCCAGGAAAAUGGGGAACUAAUAUUUAUGGAAAAUAUAUUAUGAAAUACAGUGAGUAUGGGGUAAGAAGAUCUCUUUCUUAGUGAGAUGAUGAAGGCCCAAUAAGAGAGCAAUAUUUGAAAUCCAUUUCCAAGGAUAUGUUUGUUCUAUAUGUGAAUGUUGAUUUACAGCUUCAGGUGUUAAUGCAGCAAGUCCAUCUCCGCCAAAAUGGCCAUUAUGAAUUGUUUGUGAGUGAUCAUGAAGAGCAUGUGGUUUAGAGACUCUAGUGCAGCAGAGAGUUUUACACACUGAAACAGCAUUGUGGGACUCCAGAAAUGAACAUGGGAGAAGAUAGGAUUUCAGAUGAACACAAUGAAAGGAAGAGAUUUACAGAUAAUCUGAGGACAGCUGACAUUCCUAUGGUCUUUCUUAAUUCAUAAGUCUUAACUGGGAACUACAGGAGAUGAUAAUUCUAAGAAAACACACUUUUGCCAUCUUUGUUUGUAAUUGCAAGAAUCGGUACAGUAAGACCUCUGUUGGCAAUAUUACUCAUUUGAGUAUUCGUCACCUCCCAUCUCUGGCUUCGGGAAUACUGCUUGGCAAAAUGAUUGUGAUGCCCAAAUAGGAAACUAAUGUUACUGCUUCUGACACCAUGUUCAAAUCCAAAAACGGUCUUUAUAACGUAUGGAGACUCCUCCUUUCAUGUGUUGGAGUAGACACUCCUCCAGAAAAACUGGACUGAGAAAGCCCUUGUUUGAAAGUUACCUAAAGAUUAUCAUUGGAGGGAAUUGUAACCAGGCAUGUUGACUGUUUUCAUUAUUGACAUUGGACUAAAUGUCGGGAGCUUGAAUGAUGGAGAUGCUAUUACACAGAGAAACUCAGGAUGAUAUGAUUGCAAGGCUUCAUUUCAAUGUUCCCAUAAGUAUUAAGUGCACAUAUUUAUAAUUUUCACUUUUAACAGGGUAAAUUUAAAAUAGAUGCAGAAAAAUAAAUUAUCUUUUUUCCAGAUUUGAAAGGACACAGAAAUUUGUAAAGGGUAGUAUUUUUACUUUUUAAAUGCUUUUUCCUCCCUCCUAAUUCUACUCCCCAAUAUUAUCUGCUGUUAAGGAGUUUUGUGCAUAUCCUUUUGGGGCAUAUCGAUAAACAAAUUGAUAAUGCCAGUAGUCAUUUGGGCCCAUACAUUAGCUACAAAUUUUCUCUUCAGUGAACAUGCUUAUAUGUAAUCUAUUUUUUAACUUCUCCAGCUAAGUUGUUGAAAUAGUCCUACUACUUCCACUUCAUUGGAAUUAAGUAUAUCCAAAAUUUAUGUUUUGAGUUAAAAGUAGAGAUUUCCCCAGAAUUGUGUAAAUUAUCCUCAUCAAUAUUGUCUCCCAAUGUUUGUUUAUGAGACUUCUUUUUUCUAAAACAGUACAAACAUUGGAUGUUAAUGUUUUAAUCUUUGAUAGUGUGAUACUACAAAGAAAGUAUUUUUCUUCAGUUAUUGUUCACUUCGGUCAUCUUCAUAUGUCCUUAAACUGUACUAGUCAUUUGUUAUUCUGUGUUUUGUGUUACUUUGUUUUUUGUUUUUUGUUUUUUUUUCAUUUCCCUUGGAAUACUAGUGUCUUUGUUACUGGCUUUUAAAAGAUCUUUUAUGACUAACGAUUUUAACCAUUUACCAUGCUUUGCAAAUGAAAUACCAUGUUUUUUCACCAUUUUACUGUGAUAUUUUACUUUUUGGUGUACAGAAGUUGUAUAUUGAAAUAUAAAAAUAUUGUGUUUCAUG